RNAcentral lists this long non-coding RNA (266 nucleotides) under Homo sapiens (human). Its description in RNAcentral is "HSALNT0357216". The record is from RNAcentral. Lineage: Eukaryota; Metazoa; Chordata; Mammalia; Primates; Hominidae.
ACACAGUUUCGCUCUCGUUGUCCAGGCUGGAGUGCAAUGGCGCGAUCUCAGCUCACUGCAACCUCUACCUUCCAGGUUCAAGCGAUUCUCCUGCCUCAGCCUCCUGAAUAGCUGGGAUUACAGCUACCAGAAAAUAUACUCUUUAGUACCUGUUUGUGCACUUUAGUGAGCUGUUCAAGAUUAUUUUCAAGAAAGGAGAUUUUUUGCUUCUGAGCAGCGCUGCCUCCGGUGUCAUCAGAAUCAAUCUCAGCACUCUGAGAAAAGAA